AGACAUAAACUUUGUUUAUUCGGCCUUCCAAACACGUGUUGACACCAGGAAGCCUCAAGACCGAAUGAGUACACGAUUCGAUAGGUCGACCGUCGCGCGCCAAUAAUUCUAGUGUUUAUCUAAACGGAUUAACUUUUUCCCUAGCACGGUUUCAAGAUGGCCUGUUCGCAAGACGCCUAGCGGCUUCGGAUAGGCUUUGUGUUGUUAUUUACGUAUCAACCUUCGUAGAGUGAGCAACCUACUCCUGCAGAGAUCGCAUACGCAGCUGACUGGAUGCGUCUCUUUACAAACCACCGAAACCAGAAACGUGUGAAAACAGAAGCUCUCAAUACCGGAAGGGAUCCUUUUUUGUAACUUGCCAAAACUACGUCUGAAACAUCCUGCAGGAUAAAUGCAUCGAGGCCGAGCAGCCUGGUUUAAAAGAAAGUAAGAGGGGAUGGGGUGCAGGUUUCUUGCUGAAAAUCCGAGGAUGUCAACGCCAGUUGACGUGGUUGAAUACAUAAAUCGCGUUCUUGCCCGGUUUCACUUGGAGAUAACAGACGUUGGUGUAUCGUUGCGAACAAAAAGAAACAAGGGGAAGUUGUAUCUGUUCGAAAACGAUCGAACGAAUGCAGCAGGACAAAUUAAUUCAUAAGGAGUACAAGUUCAAUUGAAAACUUCAGAUCUUGCUAACAGAACAGAUUAUUUCUAAUGAACACUUGGAAUGAAUAAUUACACUGUCGGAAUUAGAAUUCGAAAUCAUUUUCAUGUCAUUGCGAGAACAUUGCCUAAUCAAGUGAUUUCAAUACUCGUCUUAAAACUUCAAGUGAGACGUGAAUACAACUUUAUUUCAAAUUUUAUUGUAAUUUGAAAAAUUAAAUCUGAGAAGGGAUAGAAUUCAAUUUAAUUUCUAAUUAGAGCCCAUAAAAAAUCAGCGUAUUAUCAAAACCCUAUAAAUCGCCUGGAGGACUCCCAAUAAGGUAACACGAUCUCAUCAAUAAAAAUUAAUUAGGAAUCGAAUAAAUGAAAAACAAGCGCGUUACAUCGAUAUCGAAGGAAUAUCAGCACGGUGGUCAAAGAAUCAAGUCGAUGCAAUCCUGUUGGUUCCUAAACCACUCGCCGGAUACUCGUUCCCGUCAGGACGUGGCCCAUUUUUCAAAAUCGUAAUUGCAUUUUUUUAUUCCGCUCGCGGCCUCCCAGUCCCCUGGUGGUUGCUCGUCCUGUUCUUUCUGGCGAUGCGUGGCUGCUGUUGCUGCCACUUCUGCGGACCUCGAUGGCCCGGGAGGCAGGCAUCCAUAUUCAUGCGGAAUAAGGUGCAAUUAAACUCUGCGAGGUGUCAGCUACGAGGAGGGCAUUAAUCACCCAACAAAGCCACAUUUGACGCACUAACCGCCGCGGAUACCAUUACACACGAACCACAUAAUAAGCUUGCAUUACGACGGAAUGAUAAUUUCACCGGCAGGACUGUAACAAGCUGCUUUGUCGCUUGAUUCACUUCCCUUUGUGCUCGUUCGCCUCCUCUUUUUUGGCAGGAUUUCAGAGAGAUACGUUUGCAAGUAUGUAGCAAGAAAUUCUUGACAACAGUUGGGUAAGAAGGUUCGUGGUGAGAGUCGAAGAACAAAGGGGAAAGUGGGUGAAGAAAUUGAAGCGAAGGGUGAGACUUAAUUAAGACCGAUAAAGUUGUCACUUUAAUUAGAGUUCAGAAUUUACACUAAUUUUUGAAUCGAAUAUAUAGAAGAAAUAAAAACGGGGAUCAUCCGACUUUCACUGUCCAUUCUGUUUAAAAUAAGCACCGAUUAAUCAAUUAGAAGCAUCGAUAACCCGCAAUCUUUUUUACAACAACGUUUACCUUAAAUCCUCUGGAAUUAUGUCUACAAGGAGAGGAAAGUAAUCGCUUGAAAUUACGAAGACACCAACGGUCCUGUUCGUCCCAGUUUUUUUCACGCGUUCCAUGAAAAUUUCAUAAGGUAAUUCAGCUCCGGGAUGGCUCGGAUCGAAGGUAAAGCAGGAGUACGUACGGUGAAUUUUUCUUUUAUUUUUUCAACAAGCCAACGGUAACACGCGUACAACGUAAAAAUACUCGAAAACGCCUUGAACAAAUUAUACCGCAGGUGGGCCAACCUUGGCUGGGAGGAAAGUAAUGUCUACAUUUACACGCGAGCAUGCAAAUUGCCGGUGAAUUUAUUACUUAUAAAUGUGAGAUUAUUCCCCGGUGAUUCAUCUUUAUUAUAAGGCGUCCGCGCACCGGGAUAGCGGCUUAAUUCGUUUUGCGGUGUUAUUUUUCGCGUGAGAUUGAUAAUCGGUUCACGGAUCCAGAAGCGUGUCGAUCGGGCUCGAUGGUUUACCGAAACGAAAAUCGGCGACGAUUUACAUCGAGAACCGGCGAACGAUUAACCAUCGGCGAAACGAGCGGCCGCCUAAUCCGGAGCCUUCAAAUCAGCCGAUGAUUUAGAGGAGAGUCGCAAUUAAUCUCGGCGUUAUCGUUCGCUGAGAUCGAAAUUGCUCCUGCAGUCUGGAAUGAUCAAUUCGGGUGGACCUCGACGUUGCUGCUGUUCCUUAGUUCGAAUGAUGUGAUCAUUUUUCGGAACAAAGACAUCUUUCAUUUUCGUCUUUGCAUUAGUCAUUUAUUCUGAGUUUUUUAGGUAGACAACAUUUUAUUUACACCGCCAACAGACAACAUAAUAUAAAACCAACCUUGAAAGACAAUUUAAAAUCUGCUACAAUAUCUGUAAAACAUAAAAAUAUACAACAAACUGUAAAUCUACCUUACCUAAAUAAUAGGAAAAAAAUCAAUUUUAUUUAGAAAUUUCUUUAGAAUCUUCAACGACGCCGCGUCAAGACGAUUUCGAAAGGUGGUUCACUCGUUUGCGCCCCUUCUCACCUCCGUCUCUUCUCUAAUCUGAAGAAGGCGAAGGAAGAAAGUGCAAAUCACGAUCCGUCUGGCAUCGGUGAAGCUAGUGAAACGCGUGAAAGCGGUACAGGGUAAUGUUCGUUUCAAAGUCCUGUAGGUGUGAUCCACCAUAAUGGCGUGUCAACGACGCGAAACGUUACGAAUCAAUUUGUACGGUUUCAAAGACGUGAAACGCCGAAAUGACGUUCCGCGUGGUCUUCGAUCGAGCUGGGAGAAAUGACUGUUGAAGAAAUUCAUCUUGCUCAUCGAAGGGGAUCGUCGCACCGUUCAAAGAACCAUCUCCUCUCCGUGCAUGGAGAAAUAUUGAACGUCACGAUCUGGUCGUUUGGCGAUUCUGAUGCUUUAGUGACUUUCGGCAAGUAAUGGGCGAAAUUAGCAUGAACAACGAGGUGAGUGGUUCUGUCUUUCAAGGUCGUACGAUGGUAGUGGAGAUUAGGGCUGGUUGCCUGUAGGGGUAGGUUGACUAAUUGUUAACCCUUUGAGAACGAAUCAUUUUUAAGCUUGCAUAAAGUCCACAUAAUUUUAAAAAAAUCCAAAACUGAAAAACUAGCCUACCAACCAUGAUCUCCCCUAAAAUGAAUCGAAAAUUUUGAAAGAAUGAAUUAAAAAAUUUUCUUCUUCCUAGCGAAGAUUUUACAAUUUUUCUAGCAUUCGCAGAGCAAACAUCGACUGCAUAUAGUUUUAAAGAAAGUGUUACGUAAAUUUUCUUCAACAGUGCCUGGCAGCAAUCGUUCGAAGAAGGAACUGGUGGAAUGGGUACGAGGAAGGAAGCAAGCAUCUCCUCGCUCGUAAACAACGAAUCCUUUUCAGAAGGGAUAAGACCGAGCCCACGCCAAGUGGCGCAUCUGCCGGCUCGUUAUCUAAUGGCGGCUCAUGCCGGCAGAUAAUUGAGCUCUCUGCCACCUGAGGCGAGGCUCGAAUAGAUGCGGCCUUAUUAGGAGCGAUGCUGCGUUGUCCGCGGUAGCCAAGCCUCGAAUCGUUGUUAUGUAUCGAUUCUUGAUUAAAACCCACCCUCGGGCUGCCACCUCAUUACGCCUUCGAACGAACAAUCUUUCAACCUCCCUUCGAUCCUUUCCUAAUACGACGUUAGGUGUGAAAUGCAAAAUCUUAAAGAAUUUUUGAAAAAAAAAAAAAAAUUUCCAAGCUGAUAUUAUUUGUGUAAUUUGAAAUAGCUGUAACCAAAGGAUGGUGAAUUUAUCGAUCCCUGGAUCUUAUCGAUGACCGCUUGUUAAGCAAACUUCCAACGUGACUGAUGCAAUUGGAUAAGCAAAUUGUUCCCAGGUCAACGUGUAACCUUAUCUACGAUACAAUUACGAUAUCAGUGUGCCUGUUCACCGUGACUGCAUCCAAUGAUAGAAACUAUCCCAUGUCUCUUGAGUUACGGGGUUGUAAUUCUACUUCGGAGGAGGCUGAACGCAUAGAAAGCGACAGCUGCAAUAAAUAUACGCGUCUCCAUUGAAUUGUAUCGAGAAGGAAACGUUGGCUCACGGCCAGUCUUGCACCUUCGUACUAACAGAUUUUACCCUUAUGAAAUCCAAAACGUAUAUUUCAGCAGUAAAUUACAGUGUCCUUUCAGACGACAAGGUGGCGUAGCGAAAGGUAUACCCUGUUAGGAUCCACAGCGAACGUAGUUUAAUAGAUAAAGUUUGAGAUGGAACAUGGAAAAAUGGUUAUUUAGAGAUGUUUAAAAUAAGUGAAGCUUGAAAUGAUUUAUAGCGAAAAUUUGCAAUAUUUUUAUCGUUAUAAAUUUAAUCCUCAAAGGUGACUUUCGACAGAUUCAGAGGUAACUCUGUUCACUUUUAUGGAAACCGUGUAUAGAGUCCCUAAGGCUGUUGAAUAAGUCAACGAAUGGAAAUGGCAGGGACACUUUACGGUUGUAAAUAAUGCAAAACGAAGAACAGGCGAAAAAUUGACGGUCUCAGUGUCGUAUUCGCCGAUUUUUCAUAGAGUAUCCCAUUUUCAAGAAAAACGACGCCUAUAAGAGGUUAUCGGAGCGUAUGGUUUCUCCACCCUCGGGGAAAUCGAGCGAGAUCGUGUCAAUAAAUCGGAUGGCGUGCGCGAUUGCAGCCAGGGAAAAGAAAUGGAGAGGAGAAAUCGAAGAACGCGAUGGCAUCCUGAGAGAUCGGCAAUGGAAGGUGGCCGGGGGACACGAUUGUAACGAUCGAGAGCAACUGGUCACGCAUUUCGAAGAUUUAACUUCACCUUUCAAGAAGCGUUUUACACCUUUUUUAAUCCAGUUACUGGUCGAUAGACCAUUUUAUUUCAGACCUGCAGAAAAUUUAUGGAGACUUCAGUAGUAGAAGUCAAUAAUUUCGCAGGCAAAUCAUCUUAAUUCGUGCAAUUUGCAUAUUUUACUCCAGCUCCAAGUCUUCUCCAUAAUUCAGUUGACACGGGUCAAAAAUUAAAGACCAGAGGUACCAUUUCUGUCCCCCUUCCUCGCAAAUACGAAUCGGUAUCUAUAAGAGCAAAAACGGAGAGGACACGCUAUCUCGAUAACGAUGUCGUCCGAUUUCUUGGCUUCCUCGUACAUCGAGCCAUUAGAACGACGCAGUGCGGUUGCAGGUGAAUUUUGGCCGUGGUAAUAAUCUAAUAAAUCGGCGAGAAAGACGUAUGCUCGGCUGCUGUGCGGCCGAAUCGAAUGCCGUUCGGUUAGCGGGCCGCAUUCCCGAUUCGAUGUUUACGAGGCUGACCGGCCGAAAUUUAUGAAAAUUAUUCGCGGCUACCCCGAUUUCGCGUAUUCAUGCAGCGAUGCCCACUCCACGGCCACACGACAUCCGGCCGGACCAACGUUCCCAUUGUUCUCCCCGCGACAUGUCGAAAUUUCCAUACGCGACGGGGUUAUCCAAUAAACUCGGACAGAGGCAUUCCGGCUCGGCUUACCCGGAAGUUGCUUAUUCCCGACGAUCCUUUUGUUCCAGGAUAAGAUCCUUUGUACACGAUCCUGCUGGACCGUGUCUUUUGGCUCAGAUAUGCGCCCCUUACGAGUAGAAUUUUGGGAAUGGUCUCAGAUGCAAGUGUUAACCGUUCCCAUUCGAAGAGGAGAAAUAAAAGGAAAUUCGACUGGUGCAAGUGUGUUUCCAUCGAGAUAAAUGCGAGCAUUGCGGUGACUAUCGUCUCCCUUCACUGGCCAUGUUCUUCAUAUCCCACGGGUCUCGCUGCUAUCUGCGUUUCUUCAUCCGUGACCGGAAAUAUGCUUCUUGCUAUAUAAAAAAGAAGGUGUGGAAAGUUGUGUGUUAACCACAGAAUCAUCUGGCUUAUUGUAGACCAUCGAAUGUUCGUAUGAUUUCAGCUGCUUUAAUAUCCGUCCCCUUGGCCACGAUUAUCCAGACAAAAACAUUUUCGUAUCAAUGUUUCAAUGGCAAAAAAUUUAAUGUCAUAUUUGUAUUGCUUUAUUUCUUCAGACUGACGAUACAGGGAGAAACGAAAAGAUGUCAUGAUCCUUGGUGCAACCAUCCUCCUCUCGUGGAUUUACCACUGCCUUAAGGUGCCAUUCUUGAGACCUGGGUGCUCGUCUUCCUGGCACAGACUCUUGGCAGCAGGUGGUUCCUCUUGCAAGAUGACUGGAUAACCAAGCAUCCGGUUAAACGGCGGCACUGGAAGCGCGUAACUUAAGGUACGCCAUUAACGUUAUCUCGUUCGUGAAUAAAAAUGGCUUGCGAUGGAGGAGUGUGAAUCGCGAACCGACUGAAAAACACGGAAAGAAUGGAACCUCCGGUGUUUCUUAGCUGACGCUCGAAGAAAUCGAGUCUCUUCUCUGUUCUCUCUUCGACGCUUUCCAAGAACGUUGACAGCCGGAUUCUGAAAGUGCUCGUUUGGCGCUGAAUUAUCUCUGAACUUAAGUCCCUGUCUGUUCGAGUUUCUGGAGUUUCGAUUGAACGUGUGAGUCUUCCAGACGCUCGAGCACGCUCUUGAGACGAACCGAGAGAUUGAACCAAGUGUGGCGAAGUAAUUGACAGUCAGACGUCGAAAUUAUCCAAGUUGGAUCCGAACAAAGCAGCUUAUUCUUGGUAAGGAAUAAUUUCCGAUUUUCCUAGUUCCCUGAUCUCCCAUCUCUCAAUUUUACAAUUUUAAUUUCCCAUUUUCUCCACAUGCCAGUUUCCGGAUUUCUCAUUGUUCCAAUUUCUCGAUUUUUCAAUUCGCCAAUCUCAAUUUUCCAUUUCCCCUAAUUUAACAGUUGCCCAAUUUCUCAUUCCCCCAUUUGCCAGCUGUCAAAUUUUCCAUUUUGUCCAAUUUGUCAGCAGUUAAUUUUCCAAUUUGUAAGAUGACAAAUUUCCCUAUUUAUCUAUUUUUCUAAUUUCCCAAUUUCUUGGAAAUAUGUCCCAUUUGAUCUAAUACCAUUCCCCAGCGUAUUAUCUUUCUUACUCUUUUUUACAAUUCCAUGUCGACGUUCAAUUGUUCGUUACAUCAAAGAGUAGGUCGGUGAUUCCUCUUCGAACGUCAAUUAAAGAGCAAUUCAGAAGAUACGCGCGCUUCACUUUCCUUCCCUUGAUGCUCGCGAGUACAGCAAUAAAUUUGUCUUUUUUACGGUGCCCUCUGUUAACCGUGUUUCACGAAACGCUGACCAAGCGGUUCAAAUUUUAUUCCCUUUCAUUACUUAUUCUUUGACGAGCAAGGUUCCACUGGCGCAACGCGCAAUCUUCCCCUGUUGACACUAAUUGAACGGACCGGAAUAAUGCAACGAUCUAUCGUGGUACCGCUGGGAUUUUCCCGCGGGAAUCAAUCAGAAACGUUUCCCUCGAUGGAGAAUCGUCCACGUCGAUGUCAUUGCUUAAUGGACGAUGCUCGCUGAAUGAAGGAAACACGACUAAUUUGUGGCUCGACAUAAUCGAACGAUCCAAUUUUCGAUAUCUGUUGUUAGUCCAAAGUGGUAUCCACGAAUAUGGUGCAAUUUGUGUUGCUUGUGUACCUUCAAUUACGACAGAAUAUUAAUUAACUCUUUGACUGUGAAAUGAGUACAUUUACUCUGUUGUACAUCCAUUAGCCAAGCCCAAUAAUAAUAUUUCUCUGAAAUAUUCCAAAAUAUUUCAUCCAUUCUCUAUCAAACUUUGAAGAUUUCAAAUUUGUAUGCUCAUCUUCAUCGAGCUGUUUCCCAAAACGUUCAUUAAUCAAACUGCGAAUCGACUAGCGAAUCAGAUGCACCAAUCGACAUUUCCUUGAGAACAUUAAUUGACCGCGUCAGGAUAAUCCUGAGGUCCACGAAUACUUUCCCGCGGGAGCUAAUCAAAGGUAGGCCGGACAAAAACACGGAUUUAUGGGCAGUAGGCGGUACAAGGAUCACGAGGGGCCAAGAAAGCAGGAACGUGGAAGAAGGGGACGUUGGGUGGAUAGAUAAGAGGGUGGAACGAAGCGAGGAAACGAGAAAAGAAAAGGUAAAGACGAAGAGAAAGGUCUGCUGUUCUCGAGGGACCGUCGUCGAGGCAGCAGUAAUUACUUCGCGGCUGCACCGAGGACGAUUUUUUUGUUUGCACCGUGCUAAGUGUGUUCCUUAAUUGAAUUUAAGGUUAUUUAAUAUGCUUUUAGCCUGCUAUCUGGGUCCUCCCCCUUACAUACUUCUGGAAACACGAGGCCCGAUCGAUCGGGCCGGGUACGCUCCGUUUCCCUUCUCUCCAAACUUCCACGCGUUUUCUCUCCUCGUCGGCGGUCCGUCUCGGCAAGACGUCACCCAUAAACCUGCUCGGUCCUGAAUUAUGUCCGGGGCUUAUCGAAAAUACGGGGCUUAAUUUCUGCCCGCCGUCGUUUCGAUUACAAAGCGAGAGACUCGCUCGCCGAGGGAGAGAUUUAAUUGAUGCGAACGGACGACCGAUUGUCUCGAACGCGCUCUUUCCGCCGAACCACGAGCUGCUGUAAAUCCUCCGGAAAUUAACGAUUCCAUUGCUGGAUACGAGCUUCAUUCGGACCGGUCAAAUUUGCCGAUUCGCAGUUGGAAUUUCAGAGAGAGAUCGAAAGCUGCGAAAGAGAUUUUUCGAAUUUCAUUGACGAGAGAUUUAUGAACUGGGAGUACAAAUUGAUGGAAUUCUUUCAUUUCAUUCAAAAUUUUUCCCUCGAUUUUGUACAAUGUUUGAAAUAAUAAACGCGGUGAACGAUAAAAAGUAACAGUAUCGAUUUAAACGAUCGCCAAAAAAUCUUUAAUGCGCCAUAGGGACAUUCACGCCCGGCGUAUAAUCGAUUUCACGAAGCUACCCGCGAAAUUAAUCGGCUGCUGAAAAACUAAUUUGAAUAUCAAACGACCAGGCUACCGGGUGUAAAUUACUGUCCUCGGCCGUGACAGAGAUUCAAACGACAUGCGCCAAAGUAUUCCGCGAAUACGCGUCUUAAAUCAGAAUAAGGAUACCUUGCUUCGUGUACACAAGGGGACAAGCAAUGGCGAUUGCGAUCCCUUCUCGAUUUAUGGGGUGGUGGUAAACAGCCGGUGUAAUUUACCCAGCCUCCCAGUGUUUGUAAAUAACGUUCUGGUUAGAAACUAAUUACCACCGGCCAACCAAAAUAUCAAUUCUCCGUCGAUUAUUUCGGUCAUUAUAUUUCACUGGUUUAAUUAAAAAAUAAUAGUAUUUAAAUUGUCAGCGACGAAGGUGAUAAUCAACUUCAAAAUGGAAAGUAAUUUCUGUUGAUUUCGAAAAUAAAAUCGAUAGUCCAAAUUCUAAAGAAGAACGAUGGUAAUAAUUAUUGCUUUUCGGUUGUACAAAGGCAUAUACCGUUGAAUUAACGAUCAUGGUUACCUCGCGCACGGUUUUGUGUCAGACUGAUUGACACCACGUCGGCUUACGUAAAAGCCUGCGGCGAAAUCUCUCCGAAAUAAUAAGCAGGGUCGAUUUGAAAUCGAGUUCACUGCCUCUCUACUUCUUUCGUGCACCUUCGAUCAAUUGUAUUCACGUGGGCGAAAAUGAGAAUCGGGAUUAUUAAGUGGAUUAUUUAACCAAUUUCCCUCUAUUUUAUUUUAUUUAUGUAAAACACUAAAUCCUCGAAUAUUCGUAUCAAUCUGACAAAUUGAAUUAUUAUAAUUGACAAAUUAAGGCUCCGUGACCAAAGAAUGAUACAUCGAAUGCCAAGUUAUAUGAAAGUAUAAUACCAAGAUUUAUAUUGUUAUGUGAAAGCAAACGUGAUCGAAAUUAUAAUCCACCGAAAGAUCCAGGUAAGAAGCUGAAAAUUUCGACACGGUCCACGUGAACUGACCCGGAGAUAUCAUAUUUCUCGUUGAAUCUAAUUUAUUCCGACAGGGAACAGUCGAAGAUUUCUAGAUUUCGUUCUACCUGCGAGACUCUUAAACUGCCAAGUCGGAAGAUUUCUGGGGAGGAGAAGUUAUUACGACACAGCGGGGUGCCCGACUAUUUCGUGUUACUACUUCGAAUAACAAUUACACGCCGAGCAAUUAUAUUUUCCCCCGGUGAUGUCGGUUCUACGAAAGAAUGGCAGCUAUCAUUUGCCUGUCAGAAACAACACGAAUAAUUAUUGCUCCUCGACGUGGCUUUAAUUAAACGACCAAUCGAAACAAGACGAACAUCUGCGUCGGUGUUGUAUAAAUAAUUAAUAGAGGAACUCGUUUUCAUCAAGUUGUUCCAUGAUUAAUGAAUGAUACUGAACCAAGGUUCCCCUAAAAUAUUAACAAACUCCUCAUCUUUAGGGAAUUACAAGAAAAAUUCUUGGAGAUUUCAUGAAUCGUUGAUCCGGGAAGCCAAUAAACUUCAAAGGCACGCAUAAACAAAAAAGAUACAAGGAAGAAGUAUCGAAAAAAAGUGUCACAAGAGUGGCGUAUCGUUCGCGUAGAACAAUAAAUCGUGUCCUCUUGAGGAACGCAGGUGGUGGUCAAGGAAGAGGGCUCGUCGCCGCGUCAACUUUCGGUAAUUAAUCAUCGAUGGAAGAUGACUAUCACGGCUGAAUUAUCUACGUGUAAACUAGCCGUGUGGCUUGUACCUCUAUUGUAUAAGCACUCAACCCUUCCAUUGUGGCCGAUGAGAAAUCGGCCGGUUUUCAUAUCCGUGGGUUUUGUUUUACCGCUUCCAUCGGACGCGUGCGGACCUACCGUUUCUUUUCCUUUUCUCCUCGGCAACGGAGAGAAGAUAUCGUCGUAACGGCGAGGCCAGGAAACGUUGCACCGGUGUUUGUCGCUGAAUACUAAACGUUUGUAGAGAAUAUCCCGUCCCGCGGACCGAGACUCUUUGCAGUCGACGCAGUAAAUUGCAUCGAAUGAAUGGGAGGCGAACGUGUAACGUGAUAUUUACAUUGUAAAUAGUUUUACAGUGGUACUUCCUUCGCGCUGCAACGUGACACACGCGUUUUUCAAACGUCAACCGCGACGUGAAAUAGCCUCGAUUUUUAAUAUCAACAUCGUACCGAAGAAAGGAAAGAGUAAAUCGAACCUGGCGAGCUAUUUGUCAUAGUUUAUUCCAGGAAUCGAAUUGCUAUUGUAAAUUCUAGAGGAACCAUCGUUGUUAAAUUGCAUCGCUUUCAUAGCUGUCAAAAUAUUAACAUCAAUUAAAUGCAAUUAUUUCUUUCUCCUUAUGGUGGUACCAAACGUGUAAUUUCAAUUCGAAAAUUACGGUUCUCGUGUCAAAUAAUUUGAAGACCCUGAUUGUUAUCUACGAAAGAAGGGUGCUACGGCAGAGGGUUAAAAUGGAUGAUACUGUGGCUUCCUUGUGACACUGGUCAUUUACGAAUGGAACCUCUGAACAUCGUGAUGUUAGACAACCAAUUAUCACAGACACCGUCCACCAAACGGAGAUAAAGAUCGAAAAAAGGUCAUAAAUGUCCUUUUUCAAACACCUAACAUCUAUGAACACCAAUACAAAAUCUUCGCUGUAAAUUAUAUUCCCAUGGUGUUUGAGCUUGGAACAAUUUUCAUACUAAUGAACUCCACAAAUUUAUAUCUAAUUGGUGUUAUAAUUCCAUAGAAUAUGUUCUCUCUUUUAUGAGUUUUUGAUUCCCCUGGAAUAUGAAAUUUAAUUGUUUUUAUUCCUGACAGAAUUCAUUAUGUUAAACACCUUGAGAGAAAUGAAGUCAAAGCUUAGCAAAGUGACAAAAAGCUCUAAUCAUCUCGCAGAAUUAACUAACUAGUCCUAAGGUGUCCGAGAUGAGUGAUGCGGGGAAGGAAAGAAUGUCGUAGGACAACGAUGUCCCUUAAGAAUCAUCACGGUGAAACACCUGCCUUGUACAAACAAUUUUUCAUCAUAACCAUUCCUCGCAUGUAUCGUCAUUCUCGGUCAUUCGUCUCGUCGUUCGACUCCCGACACCCAUCCAUCUACUUGUUAUGGGGCUUUCCUGGGUCCCUUUUAUCCCUUAUGGCAUCGGUUCUAUCAUGAAUCUGUCGCCCAUCAAUUUACCUUUUUAUUUAAAUCAAAACCUACGAUAAGAAAAAUAUGAAUCUAUGUUUCAAACAACGUAGAGUAUAUUGUUUAAACGAUUUUUGUGCGGAACCCAUCGAGUUCCAUCGAAUCCUCGCAUAAUCCUCUUCCGGCAUUCUUGCUCAGGCGUGCCGGAGGAGCAGAAGUAACAUGUUUUCGCUUCUCUUUCUAUGAAACACAGUGGGGUAUCAUUGUGCGAUGACGUCUGUGUACAAAAUACAGUAUUGACACGUUCAGAGAUGAUCAUUAGGGCUCAUUGUUGACAGUUCGCACGUCGAAUCGUCACUAAGGCUUCGUCUCGAUGUCCUGUCACGUUCUAAGGAGAUCAGUUUCGAAGGAUUUCGAGAAACAGGCAUACGGCCUGCUUCCUGUCUCGUUAUCGACCGUUUGCCAAGUGAAUAACUCCUCGGUUCGGUCACGUUUUGUACAUAAAUCCAACCUUUUUCCUUCUUUCCUAUCGCAGCUUUGCGCAGUCCUGGGAUAAGAUGAGCUGAACUAAUUCAGACAUCAAUCUUCGGGCAAAAUGUAUUCUUCUAUUCCGAAUAAGAUUUUCCUCGUUAUUGUAGGAGUCGAUUUUUCUCAGUUGUCGCCUCCUUGUUCUCUUCUUCAAGAACAAGCGACAAUGUUUUUCAUUAUUUUUAAAAAAGAACCGUCCUACAGAAUGUUUAUGUAGGAAUCGUUAGUUAUGGAAUGAAUUUUUCAAUAAAUAUUCAGAAUGAUGUAUCAAUGGUAUAGCACAGGUGCAACCAUAAAUUCCAAAAAUUGCAGCCCACUUGGUAGCAAUAUGUAUCCCCAUCGAUUUACCUGUUGCAACAGGUAGAUUCCACUUACCUGUUCGUUCCAGAAGCUUGUAAUUAGCCUGAAAACAUUUCGAAGGAGAAACAUUCGGAUCUUCCGUGGAGUUUUAAUAAUUGGAGAAGGUGGAACGCGCUUCGUCCACGUGGACGAGGAGCUACGUGAGCGUGGCCAGACGACAUACCUGGGAAGUACUUAAAUCUGAAGAAGCCCAAGGAAAGACGAAGUGGAAAGGAAGCGAGAGGACUUGGAGAAGACUCCGCAAUUACAGAUUACAGGAAAGAAAUGUGACAAGUGUUCGAUUAAAUACACGAAACUGCUUCUGCCGAGCAAGUGUUAUCAAUUCAAUUUCCGCGCCAAGGAUCGGUGUCUUAAUUACGAGCCACUUAAUUAAAAGAAAUUUCCUGAUCACCUGUUGAUGACCGGCUCCUUCCGUAAUCUGACUAAGAUACAAUUCUGCGGAUUCGUGAGCAGAUGGGUCGAAAUUGGAAGAGAAAUGGCCAGUUUCGUGCUAGGAGCACAGAAUGGGAGCGUCGAAAGCGAGCGAAGGUGCAACGAAGGAAGACCCAUUGUCCGGCAGACACUCGACGGCUAAAGUGAUAAUUUGCGGGUCACGAUUAAGAUGUGGGAUUGUAAAUCGUGUCGUGGCACGUUCACGGUGCGUGACCAAUCGACCAUUAAGGUAACUUACGUAUCACGCGAGAGGUGCCGGGUUAAUUUGCGAGCGUUGCUUCUCUAAAAUUAUUUCCAAACUACUCGCCCGCUCUCACGCAUGCCACGAGCAAGUUCGAUUUCUCCCUCGCGGCUAAAAUGCAUCUUUAACGAUUUCCGGAAUUCGAACGCAGCUCGUGACCCAUAAACGAACAAAGAAUUUCAGAAAAUUUUUCUCUUACGAGUUGUUUAUUUCUGCAUGGAAUUGAUUCAAGAAAUUCUUGGGGAAAUGGACUAUAAAGCAGUCGCGAAGUUUCAAUCUUGACUGAAAACGAUCAUAAAUUUCUUUGAAACGAGCCGCGAUAACCUGUUGCAUUCAUACACCUGCUACGAUACACCUAUUUGCAACUUUGUAAAUAACCUCUGAAAUUCUAUAAUUUAGCUGAAGUUUACUUGAUUACUUCGGAAACUCGUUUCAGAAACGUGCAUGCUAUCCUGUACACGUUUUGCUGCUUAUGGUAGAAGUGUACUUCGCUUAAGCGUUCUUCACCUUCAACAUUUCUUUUUUUACUCAAUUUCGUUGGAAAGUGUAGUUAUAUAAAAUUUCAUAUCCUUGUUUUCAGAUGAGGUUUAUCAUUAUCAUCCUUCAGGCGAUGGAAGUCUUGGGUCUUUGCUAAGCCAAUCAUAUAAUUUAGAGUUUAGAUGUAAUUUGGCAAUUUUUUUUUAAUCCUACAGCGUUUCUUCAGAUUGGAGAUUUUGAAAGGUGGAACGAGAAGUUGACGAAGAAGAUUUCAUGCGAACACGUGCGUGACAGGAGAAACACUUGAGGCAAGUUUGCAUCAAAGUAUCGCCGUCUUCUUAGUCUGAUCGCCACGUUUUGUUGUGACAUCUGGCUUAUGGCAGUGACUACAGAUUUAACAAGACAGGGUAGGUAUAAGGAGGGGUAAAAUAAUAAAUAAAAGGGAUGGUUAACCGAGGCCAACAAGAGGAAUAAAUUCAUAAAUUUCAUAAAGAUAAAAAACUAAUUAAAAUAAAUUAAGGUAGACAGGUAGGUCCACACCC
Long non-coding RNA from Osmia lignaria (orchard mason bee), 14733 nucleotides. RefSeq lists it as uncharacterized. Lineage: Eukaryota; Metazoa; Arthropoda; Insecta; Hymenoptera; Megachilidae. The record is from RefSeq and is a predicted model, not a curated record.